RNAcentral lists this small RNA (71 nucleotides) under Allobosea sp. AK1. RNAcentral describes it as "Bosea sp. AK1 suhB". The record is from RNAcentral. Lineage: Bacteria; Pseudomonadati; Pseudomonadota; Alphaproteobacteria; Hyphomicrobiales; Alloboseaceae.
UACGAUUGCUGAGACAGCAUCCCAUCCCAACGAAGGCCCGCCCGACCGGCGGGCCUUUUCUUUUGCGGGGG